GAUGAAGAACGUAGCGAAACGCGAUACGUAAUGUGAAUUGCAGAAUUCAGUGAAUCAUCGAGUCUUUGAACGCACAUUGCGCCCCCUGGUAUUCCGGGGGGCAUGCCUGUCCGAGCGUCAUUGCUGCCCUCAAGCACGGCUUGUGUGUUGGGCCUCCGUCCUCCUCCCGGGGGACGGGCCCGAAAGGCAGCGGCGGCACCGCGUCCGGUCCUCGAGCGUAUGGGGCUUCGUCACCCGCUCUUGUAGGCCCGGCCGGCGCUUGCCGACACAUCAAUCUUUUUUCCAGGUUGACCUCGGAUCAGGUAGGGAUACCCGCUGAACUUAAGCAUAUCAAUAAGCGGAGGA
RNAcentral lists this unclassified non-coding RNA (345 nucleotides) under soil metagenome. RNAcentral's name for it is "partial contains 5.8S ribosomal RNA, internal transcribed spacer 2, and large subunit ribosomal RNA". The stretch from base 1 to 120 matches the Rfam family "5.8S ribosomal RNA", at positions 35 to 154 of the family's 154-position model. The record is from RNAcentral.